GACGAACGCUGGCGGCGUGCUUAACACAUGCAAGUCGAACGGAAAGGCCCUGCUUUUGUGGGGUGCUCGAGUGGCGAACGGGUGAGUAACACGUGAGUAACCUGCCCUUGACUUUGGGAUAACUUCAGGAAACUGGGGCUAAUACCGGAUAGGAGCUCCUGCCGCAUGGUGGGGGUUGGAAAGUUUCGGCGGUUGGGGAUGGACUCGCGGCUUAUCAGCUUGUUGGUGGGGUAGUGGCUUACCAAGGCUUUGACGGGUAGCCGGCCUGAGAGGGUGACCGGCCACAAUGGGGCCUAGGUACCGCCCCAACUCCUACGGGAGGCAACAGUGGGGAAUAUUUCACAAAUGGCUGAAGCCCGAUUCAGCAACGCCGGGUGGGGGAUGGCGGCCCUCGGGUUGUAAACCUCCUUCGCCUGUGACGAAACGUGAGUUACCGUAAUGGGUAGAGAAACACCCGGUGACUACGUG
Molecule: ribosomal RNA, 468 nt
Filed under: uncultured bacterium
Lineage: Bacteria
Description: partial 16S ribosomal RNA
Rfam family: Bacterial small subunit ribosomal RNA
Source: RNAcentral